Molecule: long non-coding RNA, 3458 nt
Filed under: Pongo abelii (Sumatran orangutan)
Lineage: Eukaryota; Metazoa; Chordata; Mammalia; Primates; Hominidae
Description: lincRNA
Source: RNAcentral
GAGCGCGUUGUGAGGAGGCGCGUCGUGUGGAGGGCGUCGUGACGGGGACGUCGUGAGGGGCGCGCAGUGAGGCGAGUCUCUGCCCCCUCCCCCUGGAGCUCCCGCUCCCCAGCUCCCCCCACCGUCAGGGGCUCUUCCUGUCAGUGCCUCAUGGCCCUUGCAUUCGCCGCCCCCAGGCAGCCCUGUCCUCCUUGGGGAGUCAGCCUCUCUCGCCUGAGCCCGAGGGCCGCCUCCCCUUCUGCGCCAGCCCCCUUUGGCUUCCGGCUCUGGAGAUCUGCCCUCCAGUGGAUCUGUCCGAAACCGCCCUCACUUAGCGGGGCAGGAGGCAGCGAGCGCGCGCUGCGGGCAGGAGCGGUUUCUGCAGGAGGGACCCUGCCUGAGCUAAACACUGAGAAGACGGCAGGAGGCAGAAGGCGAGAGGGGGGAAAGGAAAAUAAUCUGGAAAGUUCCACCGCAGGAAAGACAGUCCUGGUGGCCAGCUGGCCUCUCAGAGGCCCCUUAGUAAGCUGAGGACCUGAACCCUUACGGAAAUGGAAUUGAGACAAGCACGAAGCAGAGUGGAACGAAACAGAACAGGGGAGACGCGGGCACAGGGGAGCGCAGAGGGAUCUCUGGGUGCUUAAGGAAUGGAGACUGCGGCAGGCCAGCGGGGCUAAGUCCCGGGGGCGCAGAUGCCUGUGUGCGGGGGCAGGUGCUUGAGUGCGGGGCUAACAGAGGCUGGCAUCCCCGAGCUCCGUCUCCACACGUGCUGACUCGUGGCUCAGGAGGAAGCCUCGCCUGGCAGAAAGCCUUAGAAUCCAGGGGCCUCUGCCCAGAGGAGGUCUCGUCGUGUGUCGAAGGACCAGGGCGAGGGCGCUGGGCUGCCCUGUGCUUCGCUGACGGCCCUGGCACUCUCACUGCUGGCCUGGCCGUGGAGGGAAGGGCUCGGAGAGUAAGUGCACGCUCCUGGCACUGUCGUGCGUGCAGUGGCGCCAGAACCCGUGAGUGUCGGCCAGGCAGUGCGGCAGCAGGGAGUACGUUUGCGGCUCUGGCUUCAACCGACCUGGGCUUCAAUUCCGAGUUCCACCGCUUUGGAGCUGUGGGGCCAUGGAUAAUGGCUCAACCUUCCCGAAUGAUUUUUUUCAUCUGCAACCAUGGAGAAAAUUAUAACAGCCACAUGAAAGGAUUGUUGAGGGGAUGCAGUGAGUUUCUUCAAAGCACUGAGUAAACAUCCUACACAGUUCUCAAGCCCCGGCUAAAUGGGGAAAGCCCCUUAAGGAUGGGGCCAUGUUAGCAGGUUACUCUUAGUCCUCAGCACUUCCGCAUCCAUUAUUUCUCUUAAUGAAUUAAUAUCUGUGAGGCAUGUGUUAUAAAUAAUAUUCCCUAACUGGAUUUAAAAGGGGAGCGUCCUGGGAACUUCAGGCUCUUUAAGGAGUGUGGCCCCUGUCACCCCGGGGACCAGGGCCCCUGCGGCCGGAGGUGUCAGCCAGGGUGAGGACCUCUUCCUUUUCUUUGAGAGUAGGACUAAAUUAACAAGCUGAAGCCAGCUUACCUUGGAUGUGGAUCAUUUUGGCAGUGUUCAACUUUGAGACAAGGAAGUCUGAGACAUUAUUGUCAGCGGAGAGAGGCCCCAGACAGAAGGUCACUUCCUGAGGUGUCUGGGGAGCACUGUGGCAGGAGACCCCCAUUUCCCAGCAAUUGCUUCCUUACUCAAUCUUUCAGCUACCUGGACUUUACUACCACAUCUACAGAGUCAUCGUUGGCUUCUAAUGAUGAGCCUGAGGCACUGGGGUGCCUUCUGAAUCAUCAGAGCCAGAUGAAAUUGUGUGUUAUUGAGAUGUGCUGUUCCCAUCUUUGCAGAGGCCAUGGAUGCAUGCAAUGAAAGCUUUUGCUGAGCCGAAUACACUGUUAGCACGACUGUCUCCCCAGCCCUGACGUAUUGCACCAGACAAACACCAGACGUCAAGGACAUUGGGAAAGCACUGACAUGUUCAGCCAGGCAGUGUGGGGAUGGACCCCCAGUCCGGAGAUGAAAACCUCCAGCCAGCCCAGUGCUUCCCAGCAGGGAGCACAGAACACCAUCAAGCCUCAAGAUGUUGCUUUCCUAAAACAGACCAGCGUGGUUCAUGGAUUUGGGGCUCUAAGUGCCCCCCAUUUCUCUUCUCCUAGACCUCAUCCCCAGCAUCGCGACACUAUUCAGGCUGGAGCACCCAGCUGGGAGGUUAAACUUUCCUAACCUGGGCUCAACCUUGGUUUCGUCUCAGUCUUAAUUUUGCUUCAGCCUGGUCUGUCUUGCUGGUUUAUGCUGUCAUCUAAUACAGGGCCAGCAAUGAAGAUGCUCAGUAAAAGCUGUUGAAAGGAUAAAUUUAAAGGUUUAAAUUGUUUUAUUUUACUAUUUUAUUUAUUUUUUUCAUUUCUUGAAUAUAUAAUAUGCACUGGCAUGCCCCUCUAUUCCUCCAGCACUUAUUUCUACCAUUCAGAGACAAGCACGUUUACCAGUUUCUUGGCAAUGCAAGUAUUAUAUAAUGCAUUAUCUGCAUAAAUAUAUGUCAUACAUACACAUACAUACAUGUAUACACAUAUACAAUAUAUUAUAUGAGUGACAGUAUCCUAAACAUACUUCACAUUGUUUUUGUUUGUUGUUCUUUUUUUUCCUUUUUACUUCUUCACAUUAGUUUUUUUAACUUUCUAUAUUGGAAAUUGUUUCAUUUCAGCACAUAUAGAGCAUCCUCACUCUUUGAAAUGGCGUCAUAGCAUUUUAUUGUAUGGCAGUACCAAUAUUUGUUGAACCACCACCACUAACAGACAUUAAAUUAUUUCUAUUCUUUUGCUUUGACAAAUACCACUGUGCUCAGUGCACUUGUGCAGGAGUCGUUCUGCACCCUUGGGGUAGAUCCAUAGGCUAAACACCUAGAGUUGCUGGGUUGAAGACUUCAUGCGUAUUAAAUUUUGUUAGCUGUCAUCAAAGAACCUUCUAUGGAAAUUUUACCUGUUUACAGUUCCAGCAGCAAAGAUAAACUGCGCAUUUCCCCCCGCCCCAACCAUCUUUACAAAUACAUUGUGGGAACAAACUUUAUUUGUACGAUUCCUUGCCAAUCUGAUGAGCAAACCAAAUUGUAUUUCAGUGUUGUUUUAGUUUACAUUCUUAUUGUAAGGAGUUUGAGCACCAAGGAACUGGUUAUGUAUGUGUGUACAGUCUUCAGGUACUUUUUAAAUUAAGUUAUUGUCCUUUUUAAAUAUUGAUUUUUAGGAAUCAGUAUUUAGAACACACAACACAAUUAACUGUGUUGGCAGUUUUCCUCUGAUGUGAAGUACAUGAAUUUUUCCUAAUUUAUUAUCAUUUAAUUUUGUUUCUGGUGAUGUUUGCCAUUCAGGAAUAUCUUAGUUUGAGGUGUGGGGAGUUGAUCAAAUUUCUCAAUCUUUUCUUUUCUGGCUUAAAGAUUUUGUGUCAGAAUUAAAAAGAUCCUUUCUGAAUCAGA